AUUAGCCUUGGGCUGGACAUAUGUGAAUCACACACGUGCCUUUCACAAGCUGGAAAGCCAAACGGACGGCCUGGCCUCGGCAGCACGUGUCUAGAGAUCAAACGGUUCAUUUGUAAAUCCUUAUGGGGUGAUGAACGAGCUGUUGUGAGUGAUGUCACGUUCUUAAGAAAACCCGAACGACGUUUGAGAUGUUUCACUCGAAGGAACGGAUGAAAGAAAAAACAAAGCUCGGUAUUUCAGAAAGGUGAUGACAUACCACCUCGAAGGAUUACUGGCGCUGAAACGAUUCCACCCAAAAGUAUUGCGAUGUCAACACUUUAAAGUUUACGUUAAUGGAUAAUUACCCGUUCUGCUUCAUCCUGUGCCAAGAUGUUGACACUACAUGGUCCAUUAAGUCAUCCAGCUCCCUACUAUGUGUGAACAGCUGAAAGCCACAUUGUGAUAGAUUCCCUGGAGGAACUUCAUGUAAUCUUCUGUGAUGUGCUGUCUUUAUCCUUGCUGUCUUUAUUUCGAGAUGGCUUGCAGAGGAUGCCAGUUUCCGAAGGGCGACUGACGCAGGUGUUGACAGUCUGUCAUGAUGUUUCAACAUGUCCGUCCUCCUCGAACCGCGCUGCUUCUGGGAUUGUAUAAACAAACCUACAGGUGUUUGGGUGGAACAUGUCUCUUUCGACUCCUGCAGAUGCCAAGAUAUCAUCCACCACACUUCAGCCGCCGUGCC
Ictalurus punctatus (channel catfish) is the source of this 718-nucleotide long non-coding RNA. NCBI's taxonomy places the organism in Eukaryota, Metazoa, Chordata, Actinopteri, Siluriformes, Ictaluridae. The record is from Ensembl.